Long non-coding RNA from Poecilia latipinna (sailfin molly), 732 nucleotides. RefSeq lists it as uncharacterized. The transcript is spliced from 3 exons. Lineage: Eukaryota; Metazoa; Chordata; Actinopteri; Cyprinodontiformes; Poeciliidae. The record is from RefSeq and is a predicted model, not a curated record.
AGCCUUUUCCAGCUUUGCAGCUUUUCCGGCUCAUCUGAACCAGCAUCUGUUUUCAACCUCACCACAGACUCUUGGCUUGUUUCAGUCCUGGACUUUGACUAGAUCAUUCUUAAACAUUACUAUGAUUUGGUCUCAAGAUUUAUGCUGAUUCUGAAAGGCUUUCAUCCAUGAUUGAUCUGAUUUUAGAUCUACUGCCCAGCUUCUCUGCUCCUACAAAAGAAAAGCAUUCCUACAGCAUGACUCAGUCAACACCGUGUUCCACAGUAGGGAGGAUCAAUUCUGCUGUCAAGAUUCUCCCAGCUAAGCUUUGGAUCUCUGCAGCUCCUCCAGAGGUUGCAUGGACCUCUCGGCUGAUUUUCUGACCAAUGCUCUUCUUGUCCAAGCUGUCAGUUUAGGGAUUCCUUAAGCUCCUAGCUCCUUCAAAUUUUGACUCCAAAAAGUGUAAGGUAUGAAUACACUUUUUUUGGAUUGAGGAGAAUCCCUUUUACUGGUGCCUUAACAACAAGAGGAAAAGUGGAAACAUGAUGUGAAGUUGGUGGAUUUCUAAUCAGAAAAAAAGAAAACAAAUCAUCUUAGCUAAUGCACCCGUACCUUUACCCUCAGCCUUGAAAUAUCAGCCUUCUCAGUUUGUUUUUUGUAUAAUGUCACUAUUUUGACAGGUGACAGGCUGAGGAAGAUAGUUUUUAUUAUUAUUAUUAUUAUUAUUCAGAAGGAAGAGGAGCUACAGAGAUC